This 498-nucleotide ribosomal RNA is filed under the name uncultured Pseudomonadota bacterium. RNAcentral's name for it is "bacterial SSU rRNA". It matches the Rfam family "Bacterial small subunit ribosomal RNA", at positions 555 to 1050 of the family's 1533-position model. The record is from RNAcentral. Lineage: Bacteria; Pseudomonadati; Pseudomonadota.
UGGGCGUAAGGCGCGCGUAGGUGGUUUGUUAAGUUAGAUGUGAAAUCCCCGGGCUCAACCUGGGAAUGGCAUUUAAGACUGGCAGGCUAGAGUAUGGCAGAGGUAAGUGGAAUUUCAGGUGUAGCGGUGAAAUGCGUAGAGAUCUGAAGGAACACCAGUGGCGAAGGCGACUUACUGGGCCAUAACUGACGCUGAGGUGCGAAAGCGUGGGUAGCAAACAGGAUUAGAUACCCUGGUAGUCCACGCCGUAAACGAUGAGUGCUAGAUAUCGGAGGCAAGACUUUCGGUUUCGCAGCUAACGCAUUAAGCACUCCGCCUGGGGACUACGAUCGCAAGAUUAAAACUCAAAGGAAUUGACGGGGGCUCGCACAAGUGGUGGAGCAUGCGGUUUAAUCCGAUGCUACGCGAAAAACCUUACCAACCCUUGACAUGGUAGUCGCGGGGUUCAGAGAUGGACCUCCUCAGUUAGGCUGGACUACACACAGGUGUUGCAUGGCU